Molecule: long non-coding RNA, 335 nt
Filed under: Gossypium barbadense (sea-island cotton)
Lineage: Eukaryota; Viridiplantae; Streptophyta; Magnoliopsida; Malvales; Malvaceae
Description: long non-coding RNA (GBAR_LNC000216)
Source: RNAcentral
CAAAGAUGAAUAGACUCAUCCAUGUUUCUAUUUGUGUUCUCUUUAUUUCUGUUACUGGCAUCCUAGUAAAAGCCGAUAAUGCACCUUCUCCAUCGCCAAAGACAACUCUUGUGUCUCCGGCGAAACCUCCGACCACUUCUUCAAGUCCUCCAAUGACAUCACCUUCUAAAUCUCCUUCAUCAUCACCUCCGUCGGCAACUCCUGCCAGUUCCCCAUCGAUAAUAUCGCCUCCGCCUGCAACAACUCCCACUGCUAUGCCCACACCUUCUCAAAAUCCUACUGCCACUCCGCCUGUUUCUUCUAGCCCCCCGGCUCAAUCCCCAGCGACUCCACCA